This 503-nucleotide ribosomal RNA is filed under the name uncultured bacterium. RNAcentral describes it as "partial 16S ribosomal RNA". It matches the Rfam family "Bacterial small subunit ribosomal RNA", at positions 29 to 507 of the family's 1533-position model. The record is from RNAcentral.
AACGAACGCUGGCGGCGUGCCUAACACAUGCAAGUCGAACGAGAAAGGGGCUUCGGCUCCGAGUCAAGUGGCGCACGGGUGAGUAACACGUGGGUAACCUGCCUCUAAGAUUGGGAUAACUCGUCGAAAGAUGAGCUAAUACCGAAUAAGACCACAGUUCCCGCGGGAACAGGGGUCAAAGGUAGCCUCUGCUUGCAAGCUAUCACUUAGAGAUGGGCCUGCGCACCAUUAGCUAGUUGGUAGGGUAACGGCCUACCAAGGCAAAGAUGGUUAGCUGGUCUGAGAGGAUGAUCAGCCACACUGGAACGGAGACACGGUCCAGACUCCUACGGGAGGCAGCAGUGGGGAAUAUUGCGCAAUGGGCGAAAGCUUGACGCAGCAACGCCGCGUGAGUGAUGAAGGCCUUCGGGUCGUAAAGCUCUGUCGGGAGGAACGAAUGCUCCUGAGGUUAACAGCCUCGGGAGGUGACGGUACCUUCAAAGGAAGCACCGGCUAACUCUGUG